ACCCUAGGAGCUGCCCGGCGCGCGCCCUGUGUGCACAGCCCGCGCGCGCGCGCGCGCCCGUCCCACCCAACACUCUGCGCUCGGAGAAGCAGCGGGAGCCCCCGGAACGCGCCUGCGCCAUCGGCGGCGCAAGGGGCUGGCGCCUUUAAGGAGCCGCGGCGUUGCGUCAUUUCUCUGCGACGCCCCCGGGCCCUCGGUCCCGCCCUCUCUCCAACGGUUGCCGGAGGCGGCCAAUCAGAAGUCUAGUUCCUCUGCGGGAUCAGCUGGUCGCCGUUCCCGCGCGGCCAGGGGCUGUCCGCCGCCGAGAGCCGUCGCUGCCGCGGUGGAAGGUGCGCAGGCCCCCGGGACUCUUCUGGCUCAGGCCGGGGCCUCUGGCGCCGCGAGUCUGAAUCCGAGCCUUGCCUCCUCCACUGAGCAGCUGUGUGGCCAUGGGAUUCUGUCAGUACACCGCUGGGUGGACAAUGAGCUGGUCAUUCCUGCAGAAUUUGUAUCACCAACCACAGAAAGAAGAAGUGCAAACGAAAUGAAGGACCUCCCUUCCCCCGGAGAGGAAGCCA
Molecule: long non-coding RNA, 557 nt
Organism: Enhydra lutris kenyoni (northern sea otter)
Lineage: Eukaryota; Metazoa; Chordata; Mammalia; Carnivora; Mustelidae
Exons: 3
Source: RefSeq, a predicted model, not a curated record